AACGAACGCUGGCGGCAGGCCUAACACAUGCAAGUCGAACGCUGUAGCAAUACAGAGUGGCAGACGGGUGAGUAACGCGUGGGAACGUGCCCUUUGGUUCGGAAUAACCCAGGGAAACUUGGGCUAAUACCGGAUACGUCCGUAAGGAGAAAGAUUUAUCGCCAAAGGAUCGGCCCGCGUCGGAUUAGCUAGUUGGUGAGGUAAAGGCUCACCAAGGCGACGAUCCGUAGCUGGUCUGAGAGGAUGACCAGCCACACUGGGACUGAGACACGGCCCAGACUCCUACGGGAGGCAGCAGUGAGGAAUAUUGGACAAUGGGCGCAAGCCUGAUCCAGCCAUGCCGCGUGAGUGAAGAAGGCCUUAGGGUUGUAAAGCUCUUUCAGCGGGGAAGAUAAUGACGGUACCCGCAGAAGAAGCCCCGGCUAACUCCGUGCCAGCCGCCGCAGUAAC
This 450-nucleotide ribosomal RNA is filed under the name uncultured bacterium. RNAcentral's name for it is "bacterial SSU rRNA". It matches the Rfam family "Bacterial small subunit ribosomal RNA", at positions 29 to 524 of the family's 1533-position model. The record is from RNAcentral.